Molecule: long non-coding RNA, 2363 nt
Organism: Bubalus bubalis (water buffalo)
Lineage: Eukaryota; Metazoa; Chordata; Mammalia; Artiodactyla; Bovidae
Exons: 2
Source: RefSeq, a predicted model, not a curated record
ACUCGUUCUGGGACAGGGAGGGGCCAGUCAAAGCAGGAGCCAAGGCUGACCUCGGCGUCCCCAGAGCCUGGCAGCUCAGGCCUUCCUGGGCCCUUCCAACUGUUCUCGGUCCUCAUCCCUGAGUCCGAGGGCUGACUCCUGCUGGGGUGUUCACACCCGGAUGCAGCCCUGGGGGAGGGCAGCAGUAGCAGGGGAGAGGCUGGGCCCCCAGUGCCCAGUUCAGUGCAGUGACUCUGCCUCCCUCAGAUGGAGUGAUGCUGUCUCCCUCCCCGGGGUAAGGAAGAUUCAUUGAGCUGACUCUCAAGGACGCUGGUCUCCUGCUUCUGUUUCAUGAUGACCUGUAAGGCCCGGGCUCCACACCCUCUCAGCCCCAAGGGCCCCUCAUUUAGGAAAGGCGGUCAGGCUGUCAAGGUCAAACAGACACAGGUCGCAGGGGCCGGGCAGCCAUGCCCACGCGUUAAGCUGUUUACCUCCGGGACUUGGGCUCUGCGGUAUCUCCGUCCCAAGGACGUGGAGGACAUAAGCCAACUUGGAGACAGCCCUGACAACUGUGGUCGGAGAUGAGGGCUGCUAGCUCCUCCUGGAGGCAAACGGGCCAUGGCCCCGUGAGCCACGACCCCUUCACCCUCCCAGCCCCUGUGGCCAGGGCAGGGGGCCGCCCCAUGAACACAAGCACUCCCAGUGGAACCAGGGAGCCACCUGGGUACCCUCGACCCCCAAACAGGUAAGACUAUUCAAGAAUACUCCAAACUGAUGGCAGCAACUGCCCAGACAGAGGAGGGUCUCCUCAUCAUCCUUUUCUGUGACAUUGACAGAGACGCUAAACGUGGUUAUAGCCACCAGAAGUCACCACACAACAUCCAUGCCCGGCAACUGUCAAUCUUAGGGCAACACUCCCUGCAUGGAAUGCUGCCUGUAGGGUACCCACCUGGCAAACCUGCUGGGCACCAGCAGGUCCAGAAUUAGUGAGCAUUUGAUCAAGAGUUAUCACAAAGAGGCUGGCCCCAAGUGAAGUCAAUGGUGUAUGCGGUGGCCCAGGUUACACCCGGUGACCCCUCACUCCCUGUGAAAACCUGAAUCCAUCUCUGGCAGCCUUGGGCCCAGCCUGGAUUUAGGGCCUCCAGGAUGCCAUAAACUCACUUCCUCUGGGCUGCCCUGGCCCCAUAUCCAGCCUAACUUUAGGGGUCCACCAGAACCACCUAGACCACCAUGUGGCUGCAUGACUUGACGGGAGCCCAGCGUGCCUAAGCAGAAGUCGGCUGCAAGAGUCUUUCCGGAAGGGAACUGAGAAAAACAUAAAACCAGCCUGGAGAUGAAUGAACAGAGUCCUUGCUCUCCGUAACAAGAUAGCCGAGCUCACAGGAGUCUGAGAAGGGCACGGCAACAGUAACCCUCCCGAGACAGAGAGAGAUGGGACUAGUUCCUUCUCAUCAACUGGGCCACUGUGAGUGGAAACAGAUGGCACAAAUAAAGUAUCUCAAGAUCUCAAUCCACAGGAGGAAACAGGAAUGCAUGAAAGAGAUCUGAGGGGACUUCCCUGGCUGUCCCGUGAUUAAGACUGCACCUUCCAAUGCAGGCGAUGUGGGUUCGAUCUCUGGUCUGGGUGCUAAGAUCCCACAUGCCUCAUGGCCGAAAAACCAAAACAUAAAACAGAAGCAAUAUUAUAACAGAUUCAAUAAAGACUUUAAAAAUGGUCCAUGUCAAAAAAAAAUUUUUUUUAAAAGAUCUGAUAAAGGAACUGAAUUUAGUUGCAUCAGAGAGGAGUCUUGAAAUCAUAAAAACCUACAUCCAAAAACUAGGGUCCAAGCCCCCCCAGCUCCGAGCCAGAGACAACAAGCUCCCAGCAGUCUCCUUUUCUGCUGGGCAGCCCUCUGCUCAUAAAACUGGACUCAGUUGCACUGCACUGCAAUUUUGCUUCCUCCUUUCACAGCCCCCUACAACUACUCUUGCCAAGGCAACUGACUCCUACUGCAAAAUCUGGCUGGUUCUUUUCAAUCCUGAGCUGACAUUUCACACAAGUGACUUCCAUCUUGUCAAAAUGCUCUGUUCCUCCAGUUUCCAGAAGACCACAUGCAGCCAGCGCUCCUGAGUCCUCUGUGGAUUCUUUCUGUCCCCUUCGGGGUUCUCUACUCAAAUCUUAAACCCUGAAGCUCCUGGUGGGCAUUCUUAGUGUCUUCCCCAUCACCCUGCAGACUCGCCUGGUCAGUCUUCUCUGCACCUCAGACUGCAAAGACCACCUGCAUGUAGGUUACCCGCAAUCUCUUAUUCCCAGCCUCACUCUCCAGUCUACCCUCGGGCAGAGAUUACGCCACAUCACGACUGUUUAAACACUUCCAACACUGGUCGUCUGAAUAAACCCCAGA